Molecule: ribosomal RNA, 174 nt
Filed under: uncultured Propionibacteriales bacterium
Lineage: Bacteria; Bacillati; Actinomycetota; Actinomycetes; Propionibacteriales
Description: partial 16S ribosomal RNA
Rfam family: Bacterial small subunit ribosomal RNA
Source: RNAcentral
CCUACGGGAGGCAGCAGUGGGGAAUAUUGCACAAUGGGCGCAAGCCUGAUGCAGCGACGCCGCGUGCGGGAUGACGGCCUUCGGGUUGUAAACCGCUUUCAGUAGGGACGAAGGUAACCUGACGGUACCUACAGAAGAAGGACCGGCCAACUACGUGCCAGCAGCCGCGGUAAU